This 462-nucleotide ribosomal RNA is filed under the name uncultured bacterium. RNAcentral describes it as "bacterial SSU rRNA". It matches the Rfam family "Bacterial small subunit ribosomal RNA", at positions 33 to 507 of the family's 1533-position model. The record is from RNAcentral.
ACGCUGGCGGCGUGCCUAACACAUGCAAGUCGAACGGAGUAAGGAGAGCUUGCUUUCCUUGCUUAGUGGCGAACGGGUGAGUAACGCGUGAGGAACCUGCCUUUCAGUGGGGGACAACAGUUGGAAACGACUGCUAAUACCGCAUAACAUGAUCGGACCGCAUGAUCUGAUCAUCAAAGCUUUAUGUGCUGAGAGAUGGCCUCGCGUCUGAUUAGCUAGUUGGUGGGGUAACGGCCCACCAAGGCGACGAUCAGUAGCCGGUCUGAGAGGAUGAACGGCCACAUUGGGACUGAGAUACGGCCCAGACUCCUACGGGAGGCAGCAGUGGGGAAUAUUGGGCAAUGGGGGAAACCCUGACCCAGCAACGCCGCGUGAAGGAAGAAGGCCCUCGGGUUGUAAACUUCUUUACCAGGGACGAAGAACGUGACGGUACCUGGAGAAAAAGCCACGGCUAACUACGUG